Molecule: ribosomal RNA, 464 nt
Filed under: uncultured bacterium
Lineage: Bacteria
Description: partial 16S ribosomal RNA
Rfam family: Bacterial small subunit ribosomal RNA
Source: RNAcentral
GAUGAACGCUGGCGGCGUGCUUAACACAUGCAAGUCGAACGGAAAGGCUCCUGCUUGCAGGGGUACUCGAGUGGCGAACGGGUGAGUAACACGUGGGUGAUCUGCCCUGCACUUCGGGAUAAGCCUGGGAAACUGGGUCUAAUACCGGAUAGGACGAUGGUUUGGAUGCCAUUGUGGAAAGUUUUUCGGUGUGGGAUGAGCUCGCGGCCUAUCAGCUUGUUGGUGGGUAAUGGCCUACCAAGGCGUCGACGGGUAGCCGGCCUGAGAGGGUGUACGGCCACAUUGGGACUGAGAUACGGCCCAGACUCCUACGGGAGGCAGCAGUGGGGAAUAUUGCACAAUGGGCGCAAGCCUGAUGCAGCGACGCCGCGUGGGGGAUGACGGCCUUCGGGUUGUAAACUCCUUUCGCUAGGGACGAAGCGCAAGUGACGGUACCUGGAGAAGAAGCACCGGCUAACUACGUG